Molecule: ribosomal RNA, 212 nt
Filed under: uncultured bacterium
Lineage: Bacteria
Description: partial 16S ribosomal RNA
Rfam family: Bacterial small subunit ribosomal RNA
Source: RNAcentral
UACAGAGGUCUCAAGCGUUGUUCGGAUUCAUUGGGCGUAAAGGGUGUGUAGGUGGCGCGCUAAGUCGGGUGUGAAAUUUCGGAGCUUAACUCCGAAACUGCAUUCGAUACUGCUGUGCUUGAGGACUGGAGAGGAGACUGGAAUUUACGGUGUAGCAGUGAAAUGCGUAGAGAUCGAUAAGGAAGACCAGUGGCGAAGGCGGGUCUCUGGAC